This 914-nucleotide ribosomal RNA is filed under the name Parmotrema tinctorum. Its description in RNAcentral is "eukaryotic LSU rRNA". It matches the Rfam family "Eukaryotic large subunit ribosomal RNA", at positions 71 to 937 of the family's 3401-position model. The record is from RNAcentral. Lineage: Eukaryota; Fungi; Ascomycota; Lecanoromycetes; Lecanorales; Parmeliaceae.
GGGNUUGCCUUAGUAACGGCGAGUGAAGCGGCAACAGCUCAAAUUUGAAAUCUGGCUCCUCCGGGGUCCGAGUUGUAAUUUGUAGAGAGUGCUUCGGGGGAGACUGCGGUCUAAGUCCAUUGGAACAUGGUGUCAUAGAGGGUGAGAAUCCCGUAUGUGACCGCGGAUCGAACCCAUGUGAAGCCUCUUCGACGAGUCGAGUUGUUUGGGAAUGCAGCUCAAAAUGGGUGGUAAAUUUCAUCUAAAGCUAAAUACUGGCUGGAGACCGAUAGCGCACAAGUAGAGUGAUCGAAAGAUGAAAAGCACUUUGGAAAGAGAGUUAAACAGUACGUGAAAUUGUUGAAAGGGAAGCGCUUGCAACCAGACCUGCCCGUAGGCGAUCAGCUGCUGUUCUCAGCGGUGCACUCGCUCUGCGAUCAGGCCAGCAUCGGUUUCGGCGGUCGGAUAAAGGCCUUGGGAAUGUAGCUUCCUCUCGGGGGAGUUUUAUAGCCCUCGGUGCAAUGCGGCCAGCCGGGACCGAGGACCGCGCUUUGGCUAGGAUGCUGGCGUAAUGGUUGUCAGCGACCCGUCUUGAAACACGGACCAAGGAGUCUAACAUCUAUGCGAGUGUUUGGGUGUCAAACCCAUGCGCGGAAUGAAAGUGAACGGAGGUGAGAACCCUUAAGGGCGCAUCAUCGACCGAUCCAGAUGUCUUCGGAUGGAUUUGAGUAUGAGCAUAGCUGUUGGGACCCGAAAGAUGGUGAACUAUGCCUGAAUAGGGUGAAGCCAGAGGAAACUCUGGUGGAGGCUCGCAGCGGUUCUGACGUGCAAAUCGAUCGUCAAAUUUGGGUAUAGGGGCGAAAGGUCAGCUAAAAACCCCCCGAUUUCAUUUUACAGAGACUUUUGAGCUAACUUUUUUUUUAACAGACUAAUCG